GGCACUACGGUGCUGAAGCAACAAAUGCCCUGCUUCCAGGAAAAGCCUCUAAGCAUCAGGUAACAUCAAAUCGUACCCCAAACCGACACAGGUGGUCAGGUAGAGAAUACCAAGGCGCUUGAGAGAACUCGGGUGAAGGAACUAGGCAAAAUGGUGCCGUAACUUCGGGAGAAGGCACGCUGAUAUGUAGGUGAAGUCCCUCGCGGAUGGAGCUGAAAUCAGUCGAAGAUACCAGCUGGCUGCAACUGUUUAUUAAAAACACAGCACUGUGCAAACACGAAAGUGGACGUAUACGGUGUGACGCCUGCCCGGUGCCGGAAGGUUAAU
RNAcentral lists this ribosomal RNA (327 nucleotides) under Escherichia coli. Its description in RNAcentral is "partial 23S ribosomal RNA". It matches the Rfam family "Bacterial large subunit ribosomal RNA", at positions 1573 to 1881 of the family's 2925-position model. The record is from RNAcentral. Lineage: Bacteria; Pseudomonadati; Pseudomonadota; Gammaproteobacteria; Enterobacterales; Enterobacteriaceae.